Molecule: ribosomal RNA, 484 nt
Filed under: uncultured bacterium
Lineage: Bacteria
Description: partial 16S ribosomal RNA
Rfam family: Bacterial small subunit ribosomal RNA
Source: RNAcentral
AUUGAACGCUGGCGGCAUGCUUUACACAUGCAAGUCGAACGACCACGCGAGCUUCUUCCUGGCCGCACGUUACCAACGGAUGGGUAAUUAAUCCGAACGUGCCCUGCCUAUGGGGCUGGCCCGGCUUCAGCCGGCUGAAUCCCGUAUCCGACCAGAUGUUGAACGCGAGGGUCCGAAAGGCCUCGCCCGAUUUGAGCGGCCGAUGUCGGAUUAGCUAGUUGGUUGGGUAAGGGCUUACCAAGGCGACGAUCCGUAGCUGGUCUGAGAGGACGACCAGCCACACUGGGACUGAGACACGGCCCAGACUCCUACGGGAGGCAGCGGUGGGGAAUUUUGGACAAUGGGCGCAACCCUGACGCAGCAACGCCGCGUGCGGGAAGAAGGUCUUCGGGUUGUAAAACGCUUUUGUUAGGGAAGAAAAAAUGUGUACUAAUCUAUGGGCGGGAUGACGGUACCGGAAGAAAAAGCAACGGCUAACUACGUG